Non-coding RNA from Strongylocentrotus purpuratus (purple sea urchin), 75 nucleotides. Lineage: Eukaryota; Metazoa; Echinodermata; Echinoidea; Camarodonta; Strongylocentrotidae. The record is from Rfam.
GGCAUGGUGGCUCAAUGGUUAGAGCGUCCGCCUCAUGUGAACGGGAGGUCGUGGGUUUGAUCCCCGGCCGAGUCA